Non-coding RNA from Podarcis lilfordi (Lilford's wall lizard), 69 nucleotides. NCBI's taxonomy places the organism in Eukaryota, Metazoa, Chordata, Lepidosauria, Squamata, Lacertidae. The record is from the annotation of a GenBank genome assembly.
GGAUAACUCAGUCAGUAGAGCAUGAGACUCUUAAUCUUAGGAUUGUGGGUUCAAGCUCCAUAAUGGACA